AUGAAAAUAAUGCUAAAGAAGAAUAUUUAAUAACAUAGGAAGAUGAUUCUGCUAAAUCUCUUAAUGAACAAAAAGCACUUAUUAAAGUAUAUACCGUAUGAUCCCAUCUUUGUAAUAUAUAUUAAUUGUACUAAUACUAUUCAGCAAAUAAAUAUUGAGACCCAACUAUAUAUACAUCAGGCAUUAUAGAUACUGGUACUGGUGUUGAUGUGUGUGCAAUAACAGAUUUUAAUUUUCUUCUAUGUUCCAAUUUAUCUACAAUGACUAUCAAUUGUCUAACAAAAACUCACUAUUAUAAUGAAAAUUUUUGAAUUAUAAGAAAAGACUAACAAUAAUGUGGUAUAAAAUAAACUGACAACACAUAAGUGAUUUUGGCUCCACAUUCCAAAGUGACUCACCAAAUAUACCCUGAACUGUUUAUUUUUUUCCUAUUUCUCCAUUAAAACGAGCAGAUGCAUUUCACAUCACAUGGAUCUUCGUGGAAACAUGCCAACCAUUUUCUUAGCAACCAAACCCUGUCUUCCGCACUGUGCAUGAUUAACUAAAACAGCCUGUUGACGGCUUAAAAUAAACCUGCCUUUUUCCAUUUAGCAUUUUAUCAAAUGAAUGUAAUUUCAUUUGCUGAUGAAUUUAGUUCAGCUUCAAGGGAAUUUUUCUCUUCUUCGUGGGGAGGCUGAAGAAUCAGAACUGUCAUGCCAAAGAGAGAAAAGCAAGCCUAGGGAGAAAAAACAGUCUGAUGUUUAUACCGGGCAGACUUGCAGGCUCUACUUAAUUGACACCCAACCAGGAAUACCAGAAAUUUACUAUGUCUGAAUAUGAGAUGGAAAGGAGGAUACGAAAAACAGUGAGUCAGCCAUGAAAUAAGUUUAUGAUUCAAUCGAAUCCUCCUUACCCCAACUUUUUACAUUAUAAGCAAUAUAUGCCAUAUUGAUAGCUAUUAAGGGUAAAAGGAUUAAUUAAAACGAUAAUUACCUGAUAAGACUAAGCACACUAACCUGAUUUAGGGAAAAUUCAUCUACUUCAACUAAAAAUACCGAACCAAAAAAAAAAAAAAAAAAGAUGAAUAAUGACAUAAAAACCCUGUAGGUCCUAUUUCCACUGUGAUGUGACUUAAGGUAUCAUUCAAAUAAAAGAGUCACAGUGUGUUUUACAAUUUUAUUAGUAAGAGUUCUGAGUACAAAUAAAUUUCACUUGACAUUUAGAAAAAAAGUUAUUCACUAAGGUUUGUCACAAAGAAAAGCCUGUUCUGUACAUUUUAAUCUCCAAUUAAAGCUUAAUACCAUAAUGCUUCUAGGUCUACAACUGAAUUUUAGGUUUAUUUUAAUAAUUCUGUCUGAUUGCAACUGAUUAUAGAGACUAAAAAACAUCAGGUAGAAAACAGCAAGAGACUAAUUAAAAUGACCUGAAUAUAAAGCUUUACUUUUUUUAAAAAGCCUUUAAAACCAAAAACCUAAAAAUAAGAAUACUUUGGGCACAGCAUGAACAAAAUUAAUAUCACAUAAUUUAUCAGAAACUGCAUUACAAUAAUAUUGUAGUUUAUAUAUAAGAAUGAUUUACAACAUACUAAAUGCUUGUUAAUAUCAGUCAUAAAAAAAUCUAUUUAAAAAAUUUAAUAUAGUUCAGGAGUCGAUUCAGCAGCAGAUUCAGUUCCCAAAAAGUAAGAGGAACACAAUUUCGAAGAUGCUAGGUGGCACAUCUUUUAAUUAAAGACCUAACCACAUAAGUAUUGUCAAAUAAUUAUGAAAUUAUAUUCAAUAAGCACUUAUAAGAACUCA
Non-coding RNA from Sus scrofa (pig), 1775 nucleotides. The record is from RefSeq and is a predicted model, not a curated record. NCBI's taxonomy places the organism in Eukaryota, Metazoa, Chordata, Mammalia, Artiodactyla, Suidae.